Molecule: small nucleolar RNA, 78 nt
Organism: Sorghum bicolor (sorghum)
Lineage: Eukaryota; Viridiplantae; Streptophyta; Magnoliopsida; Poales; Poaceae
Rfam family: Small nucleolar RNA snoR122
Source: Rfam
UGCCGAUGAUGCAUAACAACUGCACGUAUUAUCAGAUUGUUCCAUGACGAUCUACAAAUUGUCACUACCACUGAGGCA